This 471-nucleotide ribosomal RNA is filed under the name uncultured Hydrogenophaga sp. RNAcentral's name for it is "bacterial SSU rRNA". It matches the Rfam family "Bacterial small subunit ribosomal RNA", at positions 907 to 1382 of the family's 1533-position model. The record is from RNAcentral. Lineage: Bacteria; Pseudomonadati; Pseudomonadota; Betaproteobacteria; Burkholderiales; Comamonadaceae.
UGAAUUGACGGGACCCGCACAAGCGGUGGAUGAUGUGGUUUAAUUCGAUGCAACGCGAAAAACCUUACCCACCUUUGACAUGUACGGAAGUUGCCAGAGAUGGCUUCGUGCUCGAAAGAGAGCCGUAACACAGGUGUUGCAUGGCUGUCGUCAGCUCGUGUCGUGAGAUGUUGGGUUAAGUCCCGCAACGAGCGCAACCCUUGUCAUUAGUUGCUACGAAAGGGCACUCUAAUGAGACUGCCGGUGACAAACCGGAGGAAGGUGGGGAUGACGUCAAGUCCUCAUGGCCCUUAUAGGUGGGGCUACACACGUCAUACAAUGGCUGGUACAAAGGGUUGCCAACCCGCGAGGGGGAGCCAAUCCCAUAAAGCCAGUCGUAGUCCGGAUCGCAGUCUGCAACUCGACUGCGUGAAGUCGGAAUCGCUAGUAAUCGUGGAUCAGCAUGUCACGGUGAACACGUUCCCGGGUCUU